This 561-nucleotide ribosomal RNA is filed under the name uncultured bacterium. RNAcentral describes it as "partial 16S ribosomal RNA". It matches the Rfam family "Bacterial small subunit ribosomal RNA", at positions 355 to 907 of the family's 1533-position model. The record is from RNAcentral.
UAGGGAAUCUUCCACAAUGGACGCAAGUCUGAUGGAGCAACGCCGCGUGAGUGAAGAAGGUUUUCGGACCGUAAAGCUCUGUUGUUGGUGAAGAAGGAUAGAGGUAGUAACUGGCCUUUAUUUGACGGUAAUCAACCAGAAAGUCGCGGCUAACUACGUGCCAGCAGCCGCGGUAAAUCGUAGGUGGCAAGCGUUGUCCGGAUUUAUUGGGCGUAAAGCGAGCGCAGGCGGAAGAAUAAGUCUGAUGUGAAAGCCCUCGGCUUAACCGAGGAAUUGCAUCGGAAACUGUUUUCUUGAGUGCAGAAGAGGAGAGUAGAACUCCAUGUGUAGCGGUGGAAUGCGUAGAUAUAUGGAAGAAUACCAGUGGCGAAGGCGGCUCUCUGGUCUGCAACUGACGCUGAGGCUCGAAAGCAUGGGUAGCGAACAGGAUUAGAUACCCUGGUAGUCCAUGCCGUAAACGAUGAGUGCUAAGUGUUGGGAGGCUUCCGCCUCUCAGUGCUGCAGCUAACGCAUUAAGCACUCCGCCUGGGGGAGUACGACCGCAAGGUUGAAACUCUAAAA